Non-coding RNA from Struthio camelus australis, 2265 nucleotides. The record is from RefSeq and is a predicted model, not a curated record. Lineage: Eukaryota; Metazoa; Chordata; Aves; Struthioniformes; Struthionidae.
UUUUCAAGCCAAACGUCCGCCUCGGACCUUAGGGCAAGGGGUCUCUGCAGAGGCCUUUGGAAACACAAGAGGGAUUCAUAGCAAUAUCCCUUCACCUUUCUCCGUGGGUUAUUCCAGGCCACAACGAAGCCUUCACUGCAGCUUGACGAUCCCAUUUACAGCAGAAGCAUGACCACCCCAAAGAGAGCAGCAGCAGCGGGACAGGAGGUUCUGGAGAACAUUUACGAGCAGGUUUCUGGAGACCGUCUCUAAGCCACCCAGCUCAGGAUUCACAUGACCAAACCAAGGCUGCUGAAUAAGAGUUUUGGAGCUUCUGAUCCAUCGGAGAGAUCAGAAUCUCUUCGCCCAAGUCAAUGGAUCUGCACUGAAAGCUGCAGCAGACAAAAGCCCUCAGCAUGCUGCUCUUCUGGGGAGCUACGCCCUCUCACCUCUGCUGAAAGUGGCCGUGGUCUGAAUUCCGGGUUUGUCCUUCUCCCCAGUUCCAGGCGAGGCAGAGCCUUCUGGCAGGAGGACAACAAAUCCAACAGCAAUUUAAAACACACAGUUUAACCCAGUUUGUUACAUCUCUCUCCCUGCUGGCCACUACAGCAGUGUCGUCAGUGAUGGUUUUUUCUCCCUCAUCCAUCUCCAUUCAUAUGGUCCAGAUCUUCAGACGCUAAGCAACUGCUGUUGCUAAGAUCCACUUCCUUUUCAGGCCCAUGAUAUCACCACCUACUUGAAGGGGUCAACCCUGGCUGGCAUCAUCCUCACGGCAAUCGGCCACAGAAGCUGCUGAUCGCGGUGCCAUUGCCUGUUCUGGUAACGGGGACGCCGAGCACGAGUUACCAGCGCCAACGCGCGCAUAGGUGCAGGACAACACAGGCGAGAACUGGCUUUUUAAACAGACAAAUACACAGCGGUGAAUACAACCAACAGCCCACAGCCCUCUGACCUUCUGCUGCUCAGGUUCACACCGCAAAUGGAUUGUACUUCGCAGACUCCCUGGGAGAAGCGUUUUGUCAGCAUCUGUGCAGCGCUGUUCACUCCACGCAUAAACCAGGGCAGCCUUUAAGGUGCUUUGGUGUUCCCAGAAAGAACUAAGGAGCAGCAAAACCAACGCCUCAAAACCAACGCCUCAAGCAAAGAGUUGAGAUAAGUGCCUCUGAUGAAAACAGGUGUGGUUCGGUUCAUUUAAAAGUUUAUUCCUUUAUCAAAUCUCUUUUCAGAGGAUUUCACUGUACAUAUAAGAUAUGAAUAAAUUACUCAACAGUAACUUUAUUCUGGUCAUUCAAAUACUCAAAAUGGGCUCUGCAAAGUACUAAAACAUUCAGGGAGCUAAACUAGAAAUCAGAUUAUUUUAAAAUAUCCUAAGAAAAGACUUCAUUCAUCAGGGUUUUGUUUUGUUUUUGCUUUUGUUUUUACAGGUAACAUGGGGAAAACACAACCUUUCGGAGUUUUUUUUUUUUUCCCUAAAUGGAAUAACAAAUAUAUUAGCUGUUUUAGCUGUAGUUACAACAAAUAUAACCCUCGGUGUCGGGAAUGUAAGUUAAAUAACCAGACCACCUCUCUGUUCCCUUCAGCAUCACACACUUUGGUGAACAACGAACUAAGUGAGGCCACAGAGAUUUGGCUAAAGAUACGUGGAUCUGGCUAGCAAGCUUGCACAUGAUUUGCAGUCAUACCACCUAGGCCUAAUACCUUAAAUAAAAGAAAGAUUUUGUUUCAAAAAGUUAAGGCCGGACACGGUCUCCUCUUCCCAGCCCAGAGGAUAAAGUUAACACUUAAUCAGAUGUGAUGCUUUUACAGGAAACAGAAUUGAUACAAACAAGCUAAAGAGCUGAAAAAAUGUACAGUAGGCAGCUUUUAUCUGUGUCUGAUUACAGGAAAUACUGCUGUUUCACUGCCAGCUGCAAUGCAUCAUGUGACACUGCAAAUACUUAGUUCAACUAGUACGGAGAUCAGAUUGUUACAGCACUGUAGGCCUUGGGUCACGACAGGGGGAGAAAAAAAAGGAGGAAAAAAAAAAGCAAGAAAAACAUACAUACACAGAACGCUCAUAUAUAUCCAAAAGCUCUCAGCAGCUUCUUGCGCUGGCAGAGAGAACCUCAUUGUUUUUUGUGCAGUCCACACACUGGGGUAUUUUCUCUUGUAUUCCAAGCUCUGACCUGUUAGUCUACAUCCCCUUUGAAACAAAAAAGUAGUUUCCCCUCAACGUGAUUUGAGACAGAGGCUGAUGCAGCUGAGAGCAAAAACACUAAAUUAGCCACACUUCUCCCUCCCCCCCCC